RNAcentral lists this ribosomal RNA (936 nucleotides) under Russula griseostipitata. RNAcentral describes it as "partial large subunit ribosomal RNA". It matches the Rfam family "Eukaryotic large subunit ribosomal RNA", at positions 40 to 954 of the family's 3401-position model. Lineage: Eukaryota; Fungi; Basidiomycota; Agaricomycetes; Russulales; Russulaceae. The record is from RNAcentral.
AUAUCAAUAAGCGGAGGAAAAGAAACUAACAAGGAUUCCCCUAGUAACUGCGAGUGAAGCGGGAAAAGCUCAAAUUUAAAAUCUGGUGGUCUUUGGCCACCCGAGUUGUAAUUUAGAGAAGCGUCUUCCGCGCUGGGCCGUGCACAAGUCUCCUGGAAUGGAGCGUCAUAGAGGGUGAGAAUCCCGUCUUUGGCACGGACCCCAGGGCUUCUGUGAUGCGCUCUCGACGAGUCGAGUUGUUUGGGAAUGCAGCUCAAAAUGGGUGGUGAACUCCAUCUAAAGCUAAAUAUUGGCGAGAGACCGAUAGCGAACAAGUACCGUGAGGGAAAGAUGAAAAGCACUUUGGAAAGAGAGUGAAACAGUACGUGAAAUUGUUGAAAGGGAAACGCUUGAAGUCAGUCGCGUCGGCCGAGACUCAGCCUUGCCUUGGCUUGGUGUACUUCUCGGUUUGACGGGUCAGCAUCAAUUUUGAUCCUUGGAUAAUGGCAAGGGAAAGGUAGCACCUUUUUAGGUGUGUUAUAGUCCUCUGUCACAUGCGAGGGUCAGGAUUGAGGAACUCAGCAUGCACCUUCGGGUGUCGGGGCCUUGCCCACGUUACGUGCUUAGGAUGCUGGCAUAAUGGCUUUAAACGACCCGUCUUGAAACACGGACCAAGGAGUCUAACAUACCCGCGAGUGUUCGGGUGGAAAACCCGUGCGCGUAAUGAAAGUGAAAGUUGGGACCUCUGUCGUGGAGGGCACCGACGCCCGGACCAGACCUUCUGUGACGGCUCUGCGGUAGAGCGUGUAUGUUGGGACCCGAAAGAUGGUGAACUAUGCCUGAAUAGGGUGAAGCCAGAGGAAACUCUGGUGGAGGCUCGUAGCGAUUCUGACGUGCAAAUCGAUCGUCAAAUUUGGGUAUAGGGGCGAAAGACUAAUCGAACCAUCUAGUAGCUGG